RNAcentral lists this ribosomal RNA (460 nucleotides) under uncultured bacterium. RNAcentral's name for it is "partial 16S ribosomal RNA". It matches the Rfam family "Bacterial small subunit ribosomal RNA", at positions 338 to 795 of the family's 1533-position model. The record is from RNAcentral.
CCUACGGGAGGCAGCAGUGAGGAAUAUUGGUCAAUGGACGAGAGUCUGAACCAGCCAAGUAGCGUGAAGGAUGACUGCCCUACGGGUUGUAAACUUCUUUUAUAUGGGAAUAAAGUGUUCCACGUGUGGGUUUUUGUAUGUACCAUAUGAAUAAGGAUCGGCUAACUCCGUGCCAGCAGCCGCGGUAAUACGGAGGAUCCGAGCGUUAUCCGGAUUUAUUGGGUUUAAAGGGAGCGUAGAUGGGUUGUUAAGUCAGUUGUGAAAGUUUGCGGCUCAACCGUAAAAUUGCAUUUGAAACUGGCAGUCUUGAGUACAGUAGAGGUAGGCGGAAUUCGUGGUGUAGCGGUGAAAUGCUUAGAUAUCACGAAGAACUCCGAUUGCGAAGGCAGCUUACUAAACUGCCACUGACACUGAGGCUCGAAAGUGUGGGUAUCAAACAGGAUUAGAUACCCGGGUAGUC